This 968-nucleotide long non-coding RNA is filed under the name Homo sapiens (human). Its description in RNAcentral is "long non-coding RNA NONHSAT163454.1". Lineage: Eukaryota; Metazoa; Chordata; Mammalia; Primates; Hominidae. The record is from RNAcentral.
UCUCCGCAGCCCGGGUCAACCAGCCGACGGUGGCGGAACGGCGGGCAGGUCGGCGGAGUUAGAUGGCCGCAAAGCCGGGUCCACCAAAUGUCGGCGGCGAGCGCUGGCUUUGAUGGUUAACUUGGGAUUUCUAAGUAUUCUGUGGACAGUCGAGGGCUGGAAAAAAAACAGAAACAUGAAUUUGAUUGGUUUCACAAGAGACAUGGCAGACCAAAGAACAUACGAUGAGUACUUUGCUAAAUGCCCUGUUUAUUCUCCCAACCGGGCUCAUAAAAGUACGGACACAUUUGGUGGGUUGAGAGAUCUCUAUGUAGUCGUGACCCUGUAAUUAUACUUGACGAGAGCGGUGAUGACAGACAGGCGGCACAGAAAUCUGCCCUUCUUUGGUGCCAAUUGAGCAUGGUGACAACAGAUUGUCUUCCUCUGUUGCCCAGGCUGGAGUGCAGUGGUGAGAUCUCGGGGAAAAACGUGGCCGGCCGGAGUCCUCCCACAGACGACAGUGCCUUCCCGGCAGCAUCUCCGCCGGGCCCAAGAGGGUCGUGGAGUCGCUGGCUUCCUCCCAGGGUACUUUGGAUACCCAGCCGUGGGAUUGCUAGAUCAGACAGAGCCAAUUGAUGAUCAGCAGGGCCUGAAAAUGCCAAAACCCUGAAACAACUGACCUUCGAAAACUUCAACAUCCCUGAACGAAACGUCCAAACACAUUUAUCCACCAAUCAAAGACCCUUUAUAGUCUGUGCUCUGUGCAUCUCAGAAGUCUCUCUUUACCACACUGUCUAUAUACUGCAUGAGCCAUUAUAUGAAACUCCAAGGCAUCUUAUACUAUAUAUUCAACCAUGUAUCCCUAGUACCUAGUACAGUCCUGCCAUAUAGUUUGCUACUAAACAUUUGCAGAAUGAAGUAAUUAUCUUGUAUCCAGGUUCCAAGUUUUAAGGUGAUUUCUCACUAAAAAUAAAGCAUUACAGUUCGCA